AACCGGGUAGGCCAGUUGAGAACACCUUUAUUUAACCAGGUAGGCUAGUUGAGAACACCUUUAUUUAACCAGGUAGGCUAGUUGAGAACACCUUUAUUUAACCAGGUAGGCCAGUUGAGAACACCUUUAUUUAACCAGGUAGGCUAGUUGAGAACACCUUUAUUUAACCAGGUAGGCCAAUUGAGAACACCUUUAUUUAACCAGGUAGGCUAGUUGAGAACACCUUUAUUUAACCAGGUAGGCUAGUUGAGAACACCUUUAUUUAACCAGGUAGGCUAGUUGAGAACACCUUUAUUUAACCAGGUAGGCUAGCUGAGAACACCUUUAUUUAACCAGGUAGGCCAGUUGAGAAC
Long non-coding RNA from Oncorhynchus tshawytscha (Chinook salmon), 353 nucleotides. NCBI's taxonomy places the organism in Eukaryota, Metazoa, Chordata, Actinopteri, Salmoniformes, Salmonidae. The record is from Ensembl.